RNAcentral lists this ribosomal RNA (1988 nucleotides) under human gut metagenome. RNAcentral describes it as "bacterial LSU rRNA". It matches the Rfam family "Bacterial large subunit ribosomal RNA", at positions 284 to 2286 of the family's 2925-position model. The record is from RNAcentral.
AGUUUCGGCUGGGGUUCGGACACUCACCAGGUAAGGGAAGGUUAGUCGAAUGGCAUGGGAAGGCCAGCCACAGACGGUUAGAGCCCAGUAGACGAAAACCCGAACUUAUAGAGUGGAUCCAGAGUACCACGAAGCACGUGGAAUUUCGUGGGAAUGCGCGGGGACCACCCCGUAAGGCUAAAUACUCCUUAGCGACCGAUAGAGAACAAGUACCGUGAGGGAAAGGUGAAAAGCACCUCGGAAGAGGAGUGAAAUAGAACCUGAAACCGCAUGCUUACAAUCAGUCACAGCUCCGUAAGAGAGUAGUGGCGUACUUUUUGUAGAACGGACCGGCGAGUUACGUUAACAAGCGAGGUUAAGGAAACGGAGCCAAAGCGAAAGCGAGUCUGAAUAGGGCGAAAGUUUGUUGACGUAGACCCGAAACCAGGUGAUCUACCCAUGAGCAGGUUGAAGCGUUGGUAAAACAACGUGGAGGACCGAACCAGGGAUCGUUGAAAAGAUCUUGGAUGACUUGUGGGUAGGGGUGAAAUUCCAAUCGAACCUUGAGAUAGCUGGUUCUCCUCGAAAUAGCUUUAGGGCUAGCCUUAUUUUGAGCUUAACGAAGGUAGAGCACUGAAUGGGUACGGGGGCUUCACCGCCUACCAAACCUUAUCAAACUCCGAAUGUCGUUAAGCAUGAAUAGGAGUCAGACCAUGGGGGAUAAGCUUCAUGGUCAAAAGGGAAAGAGCCCAGACCGCCGUCUAAGGUCCCAAAAUCAUUGUUAAGUGGAAAAGGAUGUGAAAUCGCUUAGACAACCAGGAUGUUGGCUUAGAAGCAGCCACCAUUAAAAGAGUGCGUAAUAGCUCACUGGUCCAGGGGUUUUGCGCCGAAAAUGUAACGGGGCUCAAACAAUGUACCGAAGACGCGGAAUUACAGAUGUAAUUGGUAGAGGAGCGUUCUCAUUGGGGAGAAGCGAUACCGAGAGGAGUCGUGGACUAAUGAGAAGAGAGAAUGCCGGUAUAAGUACACGAUAAGGCAGGUGAGAAUCCUGCCCGCCGGAAGUCUAAGGGUUCCUGGGGAAGGCUCGUCCACCCAGGGUAAGUCGGGGCCUAAGGCAAGGCCGAAAGGCGUAGUCGAUGGGAAACAGGUAGAUAUUCCUGUACCACCGCUAUAUGAUGACGACGCAGUGACGCAGAAAGGUAGAGCGAGCGGCCAGUUGGUGAGCCGUUCAAGUGAGUAGGGUGUUUGGUAGGCAAAUCCGCCAAACGGAAGCCUGAGACACGAUGACGAGUGAAAAAUAGUAACGAAGUCCUUGAUCCUCCGCUGCCAAGAAAAGCUGCUAAGGAAUAUAGAGGUGCCCGUACCGCAAACCGACACAGGUAGACAGGUAGAGAAUACUAAGGCGCGCGAGAUAACUCUUGUUAAGGAACUCUGCAAAAUGAACCCGUAACUUCGGGAGAAGGGUUGCUGACCAUGGUGAGUAUGGACAAUACAGAGCUGAGGUCAGUCGCAGUGAAAAGGUCCAGGCGACUGUUUAGCAAAAACACAGGUCAUUGCAAAAUCGCAAGAUGAAGUAUAAUGGCUGACGCCUGCCCGGUGCUGGAAGGUUAAGGGGAAGAGUGCAAGCUUUGAACCGAAGCCCCAGUAAACGGCGGCCGUAACUAUAACGGUCCUAAGGUAGCGAAAUUCCUUGUCGGGUAAGUUCCGACCCGCACGAAAGGCGAAACGAUCUGGACGCUGUCUCAACAAGGGACUCGGUGAAAUUGAAAUUCCGGUAAAGAUGCCGGAUACCUGCGAUAGGACAGAAAGACCCCAUGGAGCUUUACUGUAGCCUGAUAUUGGGUUUCGGAUAUUCAUGUACAGGAUAGGUGGGAGACUAGGAAUCGAGGACGCCAGUUUUCGAGGAGUCAAUGGUGGGAUACCACCCUUAAAUGUUUGGAAUUCUAACAAGGAGUCUUGAAGCAGAUUAUUGGACAGUGUCAGGUGGGCAGUUUGACUGGGGCGGUCGC